GACGAACGCUGGGGGCGUGCUUAACACAUGCAAGUCGAACGGAAAGGCCCUGCUUUUGUGGGGUGCUCGAGUGGCGAACGGGUGAGUAACACGUGAGUAACCUGCCCUUGACUUUGGGAUAACUUCAGGAAACUGGGGCUAAUACCGGAUAGGAGCUCCUGCUGCAUGGUGGGGGUUGGAAAGUUUCGGCGGUUGGGGAUGGACUCGCGGCUUAUCAGCUUGUUGGUGGGGUAGUGGCUUACCAAGGCUUUGACGGGUAGCCGGCCUGAGAGGGUGACCGGCCACAUUGGGACUGGGAUACGGCCCAGACUCCUACGGGAGGCAGCAGUGGGGAAUAUUGCACAAUGGGCGGAAGCCUGAUGCAGCAACGCCGCGUGCGGGAUGACGGCCUUCGGGUUGUAAACCUCUUUCGCCUGUGACGAAGCGUGAGUGACGGUAAUGGGUAAAGAAGCACCGGCUAACUACGU
This 467-nucleotide ribosomal RNA is filed under the name uncultured bacterium. RNAcentral describes it as "partial 16S ribosomal RNA". It matches the Rfam family "Bacterial small subunit ribosomal RNA", at positions 28 to 506 of the family's 1533-position model. The record is from RNAcentral.